GCCCGAGGGAGCCUGUGCUGGUGGAUAUUCAGCAGGCAGCUGCUGCAAAAGCCAUUGGCGUAUUAGCCAAGGAGUCAGCAGACGUGGCUGAAGAGCUGAUCCAACUGAAAGUGGUACAUGGCCUGAUGGUUGCUGUGGGGAACCUGGACCAUGCAGCCAGCCAGAGACACGCCAGCAUCUCCCUGGAGGACAGUCCAGAGACCUGGUACACAAAAAUGGAUCCAGUCCAGGCUGAAGAACUGGCCUCCAACGUAGUAGACAACCCCAGAGACAUGUCAAGGAUGCAGUCCACAGAAGGUGUGUGCAGAGUUGGGGCACAGACACUUAAAUUACACCCUUUACUUUCAAGGGGAAAAGGCAGCUCAGGAAGCAGGAGAGCAGGGUGGGGGGUCUAGGGAAAGGAGGAAUAAUGGUAGAAGGGUCCCUUUGUAAUCCAAUGUUUAUAUAGCUGCAUCCUGUGUUGCUGCACCCAGAGCUCACAGGACUGUUUUGUCCUUUCAGAGACAAACCCUGGAGCAAGCUGAACAAACAGGAAACUGAGGACAGCAACACAUGCCUCCCAUCUGUCCUCCCCCACCCUGCCCCUCUGCCUGUUCCUUCCCAGAGGACAGCUUGUGUGGGGCCACCUGGACCCAGGUUGCACAUAAGGGCCACAGCAGCACCUUGCUGCACCUGAGCCAGUGGCCAGCUUUGCACUUCUGCCCUCAAAUACAGAUUUCAGUGGGCUGUUGACAUGUAUAUUAUGUGGCAUGUUAACCAUGGGAAAUACAUGUGAGAGUAAGUGAAGUAACAUCCUUCAAAGCCUCAGUAAACACCAAUGGUACAAAGGAGCCUCAUAGGGUCUUUCCUGCUUACCUGAUAUCUUAAGAGCUGAGGCACUUGCUACAUGAUGAGUUUAGUUCAGGUGCAGGAUAGGUAUCCUCUAAACCAGCUUCCCCCUUGCUAGGCAAGUUCUACUGAGCAGGAUCUCAAAAUUUAUUUUGAGUGAUUUUUAUGUAAACAUAAGUGCAAAGACUUUAAGAAAGAACCUCAUCCAAGAAAUGAGCCUCUCUCUACAAUACCAGCCAGUCUUCAAGGACUGUUAGACUUUACCAAAAAUCACCAAGAAAUGUAUUUUAUGUGAUAGAAGAUAAUUAAUUCCAGGAACAUUUAUUUAUCAAAAUUCUUAAAAUUAUGAUUGUUUUUACAAUUACAUAUAAUUGAUUUUCUUUCUAGAAAAGCCAGACUUGCAAUGAUUUUGCAAGUUUCAAGCACAUCUGGAAAAGUUAUAUGCACACUAGAAAACUAUACAUGUGUAUCUAGUUCUAUUAGAAGAGACCAUUGUCACUAGCAAAGGGCCAGAUGCCACACACAUCUAGCACGCUCUCAGGCCUCCCUCCCCAAGCCUUGCAGCGG
RNAcentral lists this long non-coding RNA (1395 nucleotides) under Calidris pygmaea (Spoon-billed sandpiper). RNAcentral describes it as "lncRNA (ENSCPGG00000012233.1)". The record is from RNAcentral. Lineage: Eukaryota; Metazoa; Chordata; Aves; Charadriiformes; Scolopacidae.